GGGAAAUUGGCAGAGUGGUCAAUUGCACCGGUCUUGAAAACCGGCUGACGUUAAUAGCGUCUCCAGGGUUCAAAUCCCUGAUUUCCCG
This 88-nucleotide transfer RNA is filed under the name Candidatus Pseudomonas adelgestsugas. Its description in RNAcentral is "tRNA-Ser". It matches the Rfam family "tRNA". Rfam says of the family: Transfer RNA (tRNA) molecules are approximately 80 nucleotides in length. Their secondary structure includes four short double-helical elements and three loops (D, anti-codon, and T loops). Lineage: Bacteria; Pseudomonadati; Pseudomonadota; Gammaproteobacteria; Pseudomonadales; Pseudomonadaceae. The record is from RNAcentral.